RNAcentral lists this ribosomal RNA (286 nucleotides) under uncultured bacterium. Its description in RNAcentral is "partial 16S ribosomal RNA". It matches the Rfam family "Bacterial small subunit ribosomal RNA", at positions 29 to 334 of the family's 1533-position model. The record is from RNAcentral.
AACGAACGUUAGCGAGAUGUUUUAAGCAUGCAAGUCGAGCGGCAGCACUUCGGGUGGCAAGCGGCGAACGGGUGAGUAGUAGUUAGCAACUUGCCCUCCAGACGGGAAUAGCCACCGUAAUGGUGAUUAAUGCCCGAUAUGAGGAAACUUGAAAGGUGCGUUUGUACCACUGGAGGAUAGGGCUAACCCCUAUUAGCUUGUUGGUAGGGUAAUAGCCUACCAAGGCGAUGAUAGGUAGCCGGCCUGAGAGGGUGAUCGGCCACACUGGGACUGAGAUACGGCCCAG